CAGCAGCCGCGGGAAUACGGAGGGUGCAAGCGUUAAUCGGAACUACUGGGCGUAAAGCGCACGCAGGCGGUUUGUUAAGUCAGAUGUGAAAUCCCCGAGCUUAACUUGGGAACUGCAUUUGAAACUGGCAAGCUAGAGUCUUGUAGAGGGGGGUAGAAUUCCAGGUGUAGCGGUGAAAUGCGUAGAGAUCUGGAGGAAUACCGGUGGCGAAGGCGGCCCCCUGGACAAAGACUGACGCUCAGGUGCGAAAGCGUGGGGAGCAAACAGGAUUAGAUACCCCAGUAGUCCCUGUCUCUUAUAC
Molecule: ribosomal RNA, 301 nt
Filed under: uncultured bacterium
Lineage: Bacteria
Description: partial 16S ribosomal RNA
Rfam family: Bacterial small subunit ribosomal RNA
Source: RNAcentral